ACAUUGAAUGGGACUUUCAAUGUCGUCGCCGGCACAUGAUAGAUCACAAAGCUAUCUCAGAAAAAUUAUAUCUCAUCAAUGAAACAAAUAGA
RNAcentral lists this non-coding RNA (92 nucleotides) under Heterosigma akashiwo. The record is from RNAcentral. Lineage: Eukaryota; Raphidophyceae; Chattonellales; Chattonellaceae.